CACGCAGUAAACGAUGAAUACUAACUGUUUGCGAUAUACAGUAAGCGGUACAGCGAAAGCGUUAAGUAUUCCACCUGGGGAGUACGUUCGCAAGAAUGAAACUCAAAGGAAUUGACGGGG
Molecule: ribosomal RNA, 120 nt
Filed under: uncultured bacterium
Lineage: Bacteria
Description: partial 16S ribosomal RNA
Rfam family: Bacterial small subunit ribosomal RNA
Source: RNAcentral